AGAGUUUGAUCAUGGCUCAGAUUGAACGCUGGCGGAAUGCUUUACACAUGCAAGUCGAACGGCAGCACGGGUGCUUGCACCUGGUGGCGAGUGGCGAACGGGUGAGUAAUAUAUCGGAACGUAUCCAAUAAUGGGGGAUAACUAACCGAAAGGUUGGCUAAUACCGCAUACGCCCUACGGGGGAAAGCAGGGGAUCUUCGGACCUUGCGUUGAUGGAGCGGCCGAUAUCUGAUUAGCUAGUUGGUGGGGUAAAGGCCCACCAAGGCGACGAUCAGUAGCUGGUCUGAGAGGACGACCAGCCACACUGGAACUGAGACACGGUCCAGACUCCUACGGGAGGCAGCAGUGGGGAAUUUUGGACAAUGGGCGCAAGCCUGAUCCAGCCAUUCCGCGUGAGUGAAGAAGGCCUUCGGGUUGUAAAGCUCUUUCGCAGGGGAAGAAAACUUACAUUCUAAUAAAGUGUGAGGCUGACGGUACCUUGAUAAGAAGCACCGGCUAACUACGUGCCAGCAGCCGCGGUAAUAC
Molecule: ribosomal RNA, 525 nt
Filed under: uncultured bacterium
Lineage: Bacteria
Description: bacterial SSU rRNA
Rfam family: Bacterial small subunit ribosomal RNA
Source: RNAcentral